RNAcentral lists this ribosomal RNA (380 nucleotides) under uncultured eukaryote. RNAcentral's name for it is "partial 18S ribosomal RNA". It matches the Rfam family "Eukaryotic small subunit ribosomal RNA", at positions 592 to 976 of the family's 1831-position model. The record is from RNAcentral.
CAAUAGCGUAUAUUAAAGUUGUUGCGGUCAAAAAGCUCGUAGUUGGAGUUCUGCCAGGUGACGCUCGUCCGCCCAAGUGGUGUGUACAGGGCGUGCAUCUGGCCCUUUCAAGGGGAACGUGUCUGCACUUUACUGUGUGGUGCGAGAUCCUUGACUUUUACUUUGAGGAAAUCAGAGUGUUCCAAGCAGGCUCUCGUCGUGUAUAGCUCAGCAUGGAAUAAUAGCAUUGGACUUCGUUUCUAAGCUGUUGGUUGCAAGAAGCGAGGUAAUGAUGAAGAGGGAUAGUUGGGGGCAUUCGUAUUUAACUGUCAGAGGUGAAUUUCUUGGAUUUGUUAAAGACGGACUACUGCGAAAGCAUCUGCCAUGGAUGUUUUCAUUGA